UACAGAGGUCUCAAGCGUUGUUCGGAUUCAUUGGGCGUAAAGGGUGCGUAGGUGGCGGGGUAAGUCUGGUGUGAAAUCUCGGGGCUCAACCCCGAAACUGCACUGGAUACUGCCUUGCUCGAGUACUGGAGAGGAGAUUGGAAUUUACGGUGUAGCAGUGAAAUGCGUAGAUAUCGUAAGGAAGACCAGUGGCGAAGGCGAAUCUCUGGACAGUUACUGACACUGAGGCGCGAAGGCCAGGGGGGCAAACGGG
This 253-nucleotide ribosomal RNA is filed under the name uncultured bacterium. Its description in RNAcentral is "partial 16S ribosomal RNA". It matches the Rfam family "Bacterial small subunit ribosomal RNA", at positions 524 to 776 of the family's 1533-position model. The record is from RNAcentral.